GAGCUGAAGUUGGAUGCUUAACCGAGGGAGCCACCCAGGCGCCCCUAGAAGUUUAUAAAAAUCACAUCGGCUGUCCCACCUCGGUUAUGUAGAACACAGAUCGGAGCCAUUCACGUUGAGCUCCCCACAGAUGUGGCAGGUAAGUUCUAGUGCAUAUAACAAGCAGACUGGCACUGAGGGAAAUGGGAUGAAUAAAGAUUUGUACAAACACACUCUGAGAGUUAGGACUGUGGAUUCCCCUGCAGGACCGCACCGGAGGUGAGAAGGUCGGUGGCCCAGUGCAGCCAGGUGACAGGUGGAGUCCAGCAGCCGGGCGGGCUGCUGUCUCAGAGGUUGCCGGCCCCAAGGCUGGGUCCGCUGAGAGAGGUGGAAACUUGGGCAGGUGUCACGGAGCGUGUGAAGAAGAACUAAAGACACCUCCAGGAGGGAGGAGGCAUCCUCAGGAGGAAGCUUGGAUCCUUCUUCUGCUCUAAUUCGGGAACUCCAGAGAGCCAGGAAGAUAGUUCAGAUCAAGACAGUUGACCUGAAGAAUCCACAACAAGGAGCUAAAGAGAAAGAGCUCACAUCACAUUUCUCAUCAAAUGUGUGAGCCUAAACCUAACUGAAACCCUCUUUGCUGCUCAAUUUAAUGAUGAAAAGCUUUUGUAGAAAGUGGUCCCAUUUUCUUCAGGCUGUUGCAAACUGUUGCUAACAGUUACAUUUUUGUUUUUAAUUUUGUGGGGAAAAUAUUCUCGAUUUUCUAAUUGAUAUUGGUUAUCUGGAGAGAAAACGGGUAUUUUUUUGCGCAGUGGACAUACUUCAUUAAAAACACAAUCUUGAGAUACUACUUUUUAA
Molecule: long non-coding RNA, 834 nt
Organism: Suricata suricatta (meerkat)
Lineage: Eukaryota; Metazoa; Chordata; Mammalia; Carnivora; Herpestidae
Exons: 2
Source: RefSeq, a predicted model, not a curated record